AGUGAACGCUGGCGGUAGGCCUAACACAUGCAAGUCGAACGGCAGCACAGUAAGAGCUUGCUCUUACGGGUGGCGAGUGGCGGACGGGUGAGGAAUACAUCGGAAUCUACUUUUUCGUGGGGGAUAACGUAGGGAAACUUACGCUAAUACCGCAUACGACCUACGGGUGAAAGCAGGGGAUCUUCGGACCUUGCGCGAUUGAAUGAGCCGAUGUCGGAUUAGCUAGUUGGCGGGGUAAAGGCCCACCAAGGCGACGAUCCGUAGCUGGUCUGAGAGGAUGAUCAGCCACACUGGAACUGGGACACGGUCCAGACUCCUACGGGAGGCAGCAGUGGGGAAUAUUGGACAAUGGGCGCAAGCCUGAUCCAGCCAUACCGCGUGGGUGAAGAAGGCCUUCGGGUUGUAAAGCCCUUUUGUUGGGAUAGAAAAGCAGCAGGUUAAUACCCCGCUGUUCUGACGGUACCCAAAGAAUAAGCACCGGCUAACUUCGUG
Molecule: ribosomal RNA, 492 nt
Filed under: uncultured bacterium
Lineage: Bacteria
Description: partial 16S ribosomal RNA
Rfam family: Bacterial small subunit ribosomal RNA
Source: RNAcentral